GACGAACGCUGGCGGCGUGCCUAAUACAUGCAAGUCGAACGCAGUUGCGAACGGGUGAGUAACGCGUAGGUAACUGCCUUAUAGCGGGGGAUAACUAAUGGAAACGAUAGACAAUACAGCAUACUGUGAGCUGGACCUGCGUUGUAUUAGGUAGUUGGUGAGGUAAAGGGUCACCAAGGCGACGAUACAGAGCCGACCUGAGAGGGGGAGCGGCAACACUUGGAACGAGACACGGCCCAGACGCCUGCGGGAGGCAGCAGUAGGGAAUCAUCGGAAAUGGGCGGAAGUCUGGCCGAGCAACGGCGCGGUGGUUAAGAAGGGUUUCGGAUCGUAAAGCUCUGUUGGUAGAGAAGCGUUAACUAACCAGAAAGGGACGGCUAACUACGUGCCAGCAGCCGCGGUAAUAC
RNAcentral lists this ribosomal RNA (407 nucleotides) under uncultured bacterium. RNAcentral's name for it is "partial 16S ribosomal RNA". It matches the Rfam family "Bacterial small subunit ribosomal RNA", at positions 28 to 526 of the family's 1533-position model. The record is from RNAcentral.